RNAcentral lists this ribosomal RNA (503 nucleotides) under uncultured bacterium. Its description in RNAcentral is "partial 16S ribosomal RNA". It matches the Rfam family "Bacterial small subunit ribosomal RNA", at positions 30 to 523 of the family's 1533-position model. The record is from RNAcentral.
AUUGAACGCUGGCGGCAGGCUUAACACAUGCAAGUCGAGCGGGGUGAUGGUGCUUGCACUAUCACUUAGCGGCGGACGGGUGAGUAAUGCUUAGGAAUCUGCCUAUUAGUGGGGGACAACAUCUCGAAAGGGAUGCUAAUACCGCAUACAUCCUACGGGAGAAAGCAGGGGAUCACUUGUGACCUUGCGCUAAUAGAUGAGCCUAAGUCGGAUUAGCUAGUUGGUGGGGUAAAGGCCUACCAAGGCGACGAUCUGUAGCGGGUCUGAGAGGAUGAUCCGCCACACUGGGACUGAGGCACGGCCCAGACUCCUACGGGAGGCAGCAGUGGGGAAUAUUGGACAAUGGGGGGAACCCUGAUCCAGCCAUGCCGCGUGUGUGAAGAAGGCCUUAUGGUUGUAAAGCACUUUAAGCGAGGAGGAGGCUCUUUUGGUUAAUACCCAAGAUGAGUGGACGUUACUCGCAGAAUAAGCACCGGCUAACUCUGUGCCAGCAGCCGCAGUAA